GCCUACUACCAACAACAUUAUUGGGAACACUUGGCUGAUACCAGUAGUUUGGUUACAACCGUUCACUGAAACAGGAAUUGGAUCUGGACAUACUACCAAGCAAUCUACGCCUCCUGGACCUUUUGCGACAUUUUGCCUUGUCAAGUCGUGGAUCGUGACAAGUAUAUAAACACUCGUCCAUACCAUCUUGUCUUCACUUUACUCCCAUCCUCCCAUCACACUCGCCACCUCUUCUCUACAUCUACGCAACAGCCUCCAUCUUCGAUCCAACACAACCUGACGUGUAGUCAUUACCUCUUUCUCAUCCUUUGAUCCAAACUUUCAUCAACCGCAAAAAUGUGCACCGUUUACAUCACCCGCUUCACUGCUUGCGCGCAUGUCAAGAAGGAUACAGUCGAUUGUGCCACCAAGAAAGGAUCAGGAAGCAACACUUGCCCCGACGGUCCUGUAAAGGAGAAAGAACACACGGUGGAAGGCGACUGCGGACAGCAUUGAUAAUGCGAAGUCAUGAUACAACAGGAGCUACUCUCAUGAUUAGCAUCCCUGAAUCAACAAGCACGGAACGACAACCCUUUAGAACCUCCCGAAUACGCAACGCUUCGGCCUUUCUAUCUGUGGGCAAUUCUUAUCAACCUCCUGCCACACAUCUGCGCAAUCCAUUGCCGGCUUCAGAGUUUCAAAGGCACAGUGGGUGGUGAUGGGCGAGGACAAGCACUUGCAGAAGAUGUGGGCGUUGGAAGGGAGUCAGGCCUUGGCUAAUUUCUUGGCUGGUCCAAGAAUCGGGCUUUUCUGGCGCUGAACUCCUCGUGUACAAAGGAGACCGGGCGGAGGCUUUCUUAUUUCCAUGUUUUUUCUUUACUUUUCUCCUUUGCACAUAUUUUUUGUAUCUGGCCAGAUUUGUUUGUGUUUCGCUGUUCAUUCGCAAUUCACUUGUCUAAUUGUCCCAAAUCCAAACUCGUAGCUUCUGUACAUCAUUCCUUGUACUUGUUAUCCCUGAUCUGCAACGUAUCAUAAUCCUGAGAUUUUUGUAGCAUGACCAGGUAUUCUUCAUUUCUCUGCACUUUUUGCCGACGAGUCCAGCUUUUUGCAGUAGUCGCAUUUCCCCUUCCCCUU
Molecule: non-coding RNA, 1113 nt
Organism: Neurospora crassa OR74A
Lineage: Eukaryota; Fungi; Ascomycota; Sordariomycetes; Sordariales; Sordariaceae
Source: RefSeq, a predicted model, not a curated record